GCGCUAGUAGUCUAGCCUGGUAGGACAGAUGCUUGCCAAGCAUCAGACCCGAGUUCAAAUCUCGGCUGGCGCA
RNAcentral lists this transfer RNA (73 nucleotides) under Nanobdellota archaeon. RNAcentral's name for it is "tRNA-Gly". It matches the Rfam family "tRNA". From Rfam's summary of the family: Transfer RNA (tRNA) molecules are approximately 80 nucleotides in length. Their secondary structure includes four short double-helical elements and three loops (D, anti-codon, and T loops). Further hydrogen bonds mediate the characteristic L-shaped molecular structure. tRNAs have two regions of fundamental functional importance: the anti-codon, which is responsible for specific mRNA codon recognition, and the 3' end, to which the tRNAs corresponding amino acid is attached (by aminoacyl-tRNA synthetases). tRNAs cope with the degeneracy of the genetic code in two manners: having more than one tRNA (with a specific anti-codon) for a particular amino acid; and 'wobble' base-pairing, i.e. permitting non-standard base-pairing at the 3rd anti-codon position. RNAcentral also lists the same sequence under 1 other name. The record is from RNAcentral. Lineage: Archaea; Nanobdellati; Nanobdellota.